CAGCGCAGGCUCCGGUUUUGCUGUCUACACGAUAAUAACACUGCAGCCGGAGUUUCUGAAAAUCUUCACCCUGGCAGGAGUUUUGAAAAUGUUCGGUUUCAGUGACCUGGUGCAGUGUUUGCGCGAGGACGAACGGCCAACCCGCAGAGAAAAAGCUUCUGUUUUGAAAAUAACUGCAUUCGUGUGGACGGCCAAUGAGCGCGCGCGUUGAGCAUUCAAAUCAAACUGAAGCGGAGGAGGUUACCAUGGUAACAGGGCGUCAACUCACUCAGCUGACAAGAAGCAAGAGGCUGUCUCUCUGCUGUUUUCACUGCUUUCAGGAGUGGUUUAGUGUCUUCAAAAAGACCGUUAGCAUCAGGCUAACAAAUAGAGGAGUGUCAGGAAAAAAAGACCUAAAACGGGAAGUUACAAGAAAAUUUGUAAUGGGAGCUGCUGACAGAGAUACAGGAAACACAGGUGAUCUGAGAAAUCUUAUUAAAUAACUUUAUAUGAAUUUUUCACUAUACAUUUCAACUAUAUCAUCAUGCAUCUGUAAAACUUAAAAAUAUGAAUUCUGGUAUCUUAGGAUUUUUUGUAUGUUUUGUAUAUUAUUAUUAUUAUUAUUAUUAUUGCAUUUCACGUCUGCUGUAGUUUGUUUAUUUCUAAUAAUCCUGACAUUGUAUACUACAUUUUGUUGGCUAUGUGACAUUGUUCCUAUUCUUCCAUGCUGAUGGCUGUGCUGCGGAGCUGGAGCGGAUCUCCUGUUGAAGAACAUCUCCAAAGCGCCAUGAACCAUCUGACUAGGCAGUUCGUGAAGACGGAUAACCUGGACAGAAGUCGGUUCCAGAUCCAGGCUCCACACCAGACUUCUCACUCACAAGGAUUGCUGUCUACUAGAUAUUAUGUGUACUCUUCAGACUUGGGUACAGAUAUUAUUCAGGGACAUGAACACUUGAAUAUUGCAAAAAUAGAGAAACUAUCUUAUUUAAGAAUUUUGUGUUAAUUGCGUGAACAUUAAACAAAUAUACUGUAUAUUUCUUUUACUGUUUUUUGUUUUGUUUUCCAAAGCACCUAAAAGCCAAUUCACACUGCCAUACUCCAACAGGGUGAACACACUGACCAAGCAAAACAAUUAAGCAUGUUUUUAUAGUUUUUGUGAAAGUGUGAACUGACAAUGCUGUAUGUUAGGUGUGAGAUUCAUUCAACUUGGUUUGCUGAUUAAACAUGAUUAAAUAUUUGUUCAGAAUAUUGUCGU
Onychostoma macrolepis is the source of this 1234-nucleotide long non-coding RNA. RefSeq lists it as uncharacterized. The transcript is spliced from 4 exons. The record is from RefSeq and is a predicted model, not a curated record. NCBI's taxonomy places the organism in Eukaryota, Metazoa, Chordata, Actinopteri, Cypriniformes, Cyprinidae.